CCUACGGGAGGCAGCAGUAGGGAAUAUUGGUCAAUGGAUGCAAGUCUGAACCAGCCAUGCCGCGUGCAGGAAGAAGGCCUUAUGGGUUGUAAACUGCUUUUGUCAGGGGAUAAAAGAUCCUUGCGAGGAUAAUUGAAGGUACCUGGCGAAUAAGCCACGGCUAACUACGUGCCAGCAGCCGCGGUAAUACGUAGGUGGCGAGCGUUGUCCGGAUUUAUUGGGUUUAAAGGGUGCGUAGGCGGCCUUAUAAGUCAGUGCUGAAAUAUUCCGGCUUAACCGGGAGGGUGGCAUUGAUACUGUAGGGCUUGAGUAAAGUUGAGGUAGGCGGAAUUGACGGUGUAGCGGUGAAAUGCUUAGAUAUCGUCAAGAACACCGAUAGUGAAGACAGCUUACUAAACUUUAACUGACGCUGAGGCACGAAAGUGUGGGGAUCAAACAGG
RNAcentral lists this ribosomal RNA (440 nucleotides) under uncultured bacterium. RNAcentral describes it as "bacterial SSU rRNA". It matches the Rfam family "Bacterial small subunit ribosomal RNA", at positions 338 to 776 of the family's 1533-position model. The record is from RNAcentral.